AGACCCGAAACCCGGUGAUCUAGCCAUGGGCAGGUUGAAGGUUGGGUAACACUAACUGGAGGACCGAACCGACUAAUGUUGAAAAAUUAGCGGAUGACCUGUGGCUGGGGGUGAAAGGCCAAUCAAACCGGGAGAUAGCUGGUUCUCCCCGAAAGCUAUUUAGGUAGCGCCUCGUGAAUUCAUCUCCGGGGGUAGAGCACUGUUUCGGCUAGGGGGCCAUCCCGGCUUACCAACCCGAUGCAAACUGCGAAUACCGGAGAAUGUUAUCACGGGAGACACACGGCGGGUGCUAACGUCCGUCGUGAAGAGGGAAACAACCCAGACCGCCAGCUAAGGUCCCAAAGUCAUGGUUAAGUGGGAAACGAUGUGGGAAGGCCCAGACAGCCAGGAUGUUGGCUUAGAAGCAGCCAUCAUUUAAAGAAAGCGUAAUAGCUCACUGGUCGAGUCGGCCUGCGCGGAAGAUGUAACGGGGCUAAACCAUGCACCGAAGCUGCGGCAGCGACACUAUGUGUUGUUGGGUAGGGGAGCGUUCUGUAAGCCUGUGAAGGUGUGUCGUGAGGCAUGCUGGAGGUAUCAGAAGUGCGAAUGCUGACAUAAGUAACGAUAAAGCGGGUGAAAAGCCCGCUCGCCGGAAGACCAAGGGUUCCUGUCCAACGUUAAUCGGGGCAGGGUGAGUCGACCCCUAAGGCGAGGCCGAAAGGCGUAGUCGAUGGGAAACGGGUUAAUAUUCCCGUACUUGGUGUUACUGCGAAGGGGGGACGGAGAAGGCUAUGUUGGCCGGGCGACGGUUGUCCCGGUUUAAGCGUGUAGGUGUGUGUUCCAGGUAAAUCCGGUUCACUUUAACACUGAGGCGUGAUGACGAGGCACUACGGUGCUGAAGCAACAAAUGCCCUGCUUCCAGGAAAAGCCUCUAAGCAUCAGGUAACAUCAAAUCGUACCCCAAACCGACACAGGUGGUCAGGUAGAGAAUACCAAGGCGCUUGAGAGAACUCGGGUGAAGGAACUAGGCAAAAUGGUGCCGUAACUUCGGGAGAAGGCACGCUGACAC
Molecule: ribosomal RNA, 1048 nt
Filed under: Salmonella enterica
Lineage: Bacteria; Pseudomonadati; Pseudomonadota; Gammaproteobacteria; Enterobacterales; Enterobacteriaceae
Also listed under: 3 other names
Description: partial 23S ribosomal RNA
Rfam family: Bacterial large subunit ribosomal RNA
Source: RNAcentral